CUUCGGGGUGUGACUGCGUACCUUUUGUAUAAUGGGUCAGCGACUUAUAUUCUGUAGCAAGGUUAACCGAAUAGGGGAGCCGGAGGGAAACCGAGUCUUAAUUGGGCGUUAAGUUGCAGGGUAUAGACCCGAAACCCGGUGAUCUAGCCAUGGGCAGGUUGAAGGUUGGGUAACACUAACUGGAGGACCGAACCGACUAAUGUUGAAAAAUUAGCGGAUGACCUGUGGCUGGGGGUGAAAGGCCAAUCAAACCGGGAGAUAGCUGGUUCUCCCCGAAAGCUAUUUAGGUAGCGCCUCGUGAAUUCAUCUCCGGGGGUAGAGCACUGUUUCGGCUAGGGGGCCAUCCCGGCUUACCAACCCGAUGCAAACUGCGAAUACCGGAGAAUGUUAUCACGGGAGACACACGGCGGGUGCUAACGUCCGUCGUGAAGAGGGAAACAACCCAGACCGCCAGCUAAGGUCCCAAAGUCAUGGUUAAGUGGGAAACGAUGUGGGAAGGCCCAGACAGCCAGGAUGUUGGCUUAGAAGCAGCCAUCAUUUAAAGAAAGCGUAAUAGCUCACUGGUCGAGUCGGCCUGCGCGGAAGAUGUAACGGGGCUAAACCAUGCACCGAAGCUGCGGCAGCGACACUGUGUGUUGUUGGGUAGGGGAGCGUUCUGUAAGCCUGUGAAGGUGUGUCGUGAGGCAUGCUGGAGGUAUCAGAAGUGCGAAUGCUGACAUAAGUAACGAUAAAGCGGGUGAAAAGCCCGCUCGCCGGAAGACCAAGGGUUCCUGUCCAACGUUAAUCGGGGCAGGGUGAGUCGACCCCUAAGGCGAGGCCGAAAGGCGUAGUCGAUGGGAAACGGGUUAAUAUUCCCGUACUUGGUGUUACUGCGAAGGGGGGACGGAGAAGGCUAUGUUGGCCGGGCGACGGUUGUCCCGGUUUAAGCGUGUAGGUGUGUGUUCCAGGUAAAUCCGGUUCACUUUAACACUGAGGCGUGACGACGAGGCACUACGGUGCUGAAGCAACAAAUGCCCUGCUUCCAGGAAAAGCCUCUAAGCAUCAGGUAACAUCAAAUCGUACCCCAAACCGACACAGGUGGUCAGGUAGAGAAUACCAAGGCGCUUGAGAGAACUCGGGUGAAGGAACUAGGCAAAAUGGUGCCGUAACUUCGGGAGAAGGCACGCUGACACGUAGGUGAAGUGAUUUACUCAUGGAGCUGAAGUCAGUCGAAGAUACCAGCUGGCUGCAACUGUUUAUUAAAAACACAGCACUGUGCAAACACGAAAGUGGACGUAUACGGUGUGACGCCUGCCCGGUGCCGGAAGGUUAAUUGAUGGGGUCAGCGCAAGCGAAGCUCCUGAUCGAAGCCCCGGUAAACGGCGGCCGUAACUAUAACGGUCCUAAGGUAGCGAAAUUCCUUGUCGGGUAAGUUCCGACCUGCACGAAUGGCGUAAUGAUGGCCAGGCUGUCUCCACCCGAGACUCAGUGAAAUUGAACUCGCUGUGAAGAUGCAGUGUACCCGCGGCAAGACGGAAAGACCCCGUGAACCUUUACUAUAGCUUGACACUGAACAUUGAGCCUUGAUGUGUAGGAUAGGUG
RNAcentral lists this ribosomal RNA (1581 nucleotides) under Salmonella enterica subsp. enterica serovar Stanley. Its description in RNAcentral is "partial 23S ribosomal RNA". It matches the Rfam family "Bacterial large subunit ribosomal RNA", at positions 583 to 2149 of the family's 2925-position model. Lineage: Bacteria; Pseudomonadati; Pseudomonadota; Gammaproteobacteria; Enterobacterales; Enterobacteriaceae. The record is from RNAcentral.